UUCCAUGUGUAUUUGCUAUCAAACCACAGUAUUUGAACUCAUUCACCUUUGUCAUUGGACGAUCAUAUAGUGUUAGCUGUUGGCCAUCAGUCUUGUGUUUGUUUGUAAAUACCAUGUAGCAUGACUUGCUUUCUGACAUUUUGAAUCCCCAGUUAUAUGACCACCUCUCCACUUUUUUAAUCGCUCUAGCUUCUCCAUUACUUAUGGGGCAUGUCUUCCCCUCAUCCACAUAUCCCCAACAUCUGCGUGUAGAGCCCAUUGGAUGCAUGUGUCUAAGCAUGUCAAUAUGUCAUUAAUCAUGAUGUUAAAUAAUAUUGGACUGACUGCACUCCCUUGGGGAAUACCAUUUUCUAUUUCUAAAUAAUUGGAAAUAUCUGCUCCAACCUUUCCUCUAAAUGUCCUGUCUGUUCAAAAGGCCCUUACCCAAUUGAACAUUCUCCCUCCAAUACCCAUUCUAUUCAAUCAAAGUGAUCAGUAACCCCUCCCUCCACACAGAGUCAUACGCCUUUUCAAUGUCAAAGUACACUAUUGUCAUUAUCUCUUUCAUUUUCAAUGUUUGUCCCACGUCAUUACUCACUCUUACUAAUUCCACAUCCAGAGCUGACCUAUUAUCCUGUCUCUUCUCCUUCAUGUUUUCAUUCUCUGCUAGUAACUGCUGUUUUUGCUGCCUAUGGAUAUCACUGAGAUGCUCCCCACUAUGUACUGCUGCAAGUGUCCUUCCUAACAUACCUGCCUUCUCUUUAUCUGUCACUGCCAGCCUCUCCCCAUCAACCAAAGCUGGCAUUUUAAUGGAUUUCCUUUUCCCACUCAUCUGCUGAAACAUGGACCAGACAUCACCUAAUGUUACUCCUCUGCCAAUGGGUUGCAGAUGUCCACUAUAGUACAGUCUAUACCAUCAGGAGAUUGCACCUCCCUAUAUGCCACACCAUCUUUGAGAGAUGACUGCAAGGUCCUGUACACUUCGCAUACAUUGACUGCACGACUUCAGGUCUGCGAUGUGGACAGUACACCUCAAACACAUCACUACACAACCUGGGGUAUUUGAAGAUAAGGGAAUGACAUGUUUAUAAUAUGCUGCAAAACACAACAAAUAGGCAGGGUUACGAGUCUGUUUCCAAGGCCAUUUUAUUUUUGGUAGUCUGAUCAUUUCAACAAGAGAAUAGAAUCAAACUGAAAACAUCGUAAAUAUGUUCCAGAUACAUGAAGCAUGUGAACAGUGAAACUCGCUCAUGGACUUUAAGGUGAAUACUUUAAGAAAACGUUUUCCCACACUCUUUGUAGGAGCCAUUUUAUGGGUGUUGUUGGUGUCUCAAUUUACCUUAUUUAUAUGUAUAGUGCAAUAUUAUUUUUUAACACUUGGUGGCGGGGUGUAUAAAAGGGGUCAUAGGUGACAGGAGAGGAAGAGGACACAGGACGAAGAGCAUACUGAUUCUACCAGACGGCCAGCCCAGCCCCAGCAGAUGCUCAUACUACAACUAUUGACACCGUGUACUUAAACCUUGGUAUGUAAAGCAAUAAAACAUCAUUCUAAAACUGCA
Gymnodraco acuticeps is the source of this 1538-nucleotide long non-coding RNA. RefSeq lists it as uncharacterized. NCBI's taxonomy places the organism in Eukaryota, Metazoa, Chordata, Actinopteri, Perciformes, Bathydraconidae. The record is from RefSeq and is a predicted model, not a curated record. The transcript has 2 exons.